AUUCAGCUGACGAGUCCCAAAUAGGGCGAAACGCGUUUCCUGGAU
This 45-nucleotide non-coding RNA is filed under the name Schistosoma mansoni. Lineage: Eukaryota; Metazoa; Platyhelminthes; Trematoda; Strigeidida; Schistosomatidae. The record is from RNAcentral.